ACGGAAGGCAGCAGUGGGGAAUAUUGCACAAUGGGGGAAACCCUGAUGCAGCGACGCCGCGUGAGUGAAGAAGUAUUUCGGUAUGUAAAGCUCUAUCAGCAGGAAAGAAAAUGACGGUACCUGACUAAGAAGCCCCGGCUAACUACGUGCCAGCAGCCGCGGUAAUACGUAGGGGGCAAGCGUUAUCCGGAUUUACUGGGUGUAAAGGGUGCGUAGACGGCUUUGCAAGUCUGAAGUGAAAGCCCGGGGCUCAACCCCGGAACUGCUUUGGAAACUGUAGAGCUAGAGUGCAGGAGAGGUAAGUGGAAUUCCUAGUGUAGCGGUGAAAUGCGUAGAUAUUAGGAGGAACACCAGUGGCGAAGGCGGCUUACUGGACUGUAACUGACGUUGAGGCUCGAAGGCGUGGGGAGCAAACAGGAUUAGAUACCCUGGUA
Molecule: ribosomal RNA, 434 nt
Filed under: uncultured Lachnospiraceae bacterium
Lineage: Bacteria; Bacillati; Bacillota; Clostridia; Lachnospirales; Lachnospiraceae
Description: partial 16S ribosomal RNA
Rfam family: Bacterial small subunit ribosomal RNA
Source: RNAcentral